AGGAAAUGUAAUGUGCACUUUUUGGCCCCGGUCGCGGGAGCCGCUUUGGGCUUUCUGCGCAUGUGCGCGGUGUGGCUCGAGGUUUGUUUUUCUCCGGUGCAGCCUGGUAGGGAGGGCUCCCGGCAUCUCCCUGCGUCGGGGCAGAGGAUGCCGAGGGUAGAGUACCGGAGGGCUGGAGCGAGGGUGGACUGGAGGUGCCGCUUGUCCUGGAGGUGGGAGAGAGGGAGCGGCUUUGCCGCCUGGCCUGCGUCCUAAUCCUGCCCUGGUUCUUCUGCUCCCGAAGGGAACGCAGGUCCCGCGCCUGUGACAAGUAAGGUUGGAUUUUCUCUCCCCUGAGGUGAAGGAUGCCCGGAGGCCUCGGCAGGACCGCGCGGAAACGGGCCUUCUGCCCAAAAGAUGCUGCUUCUCUCCUUAUUCUUUCCCCUCAGAAUCUCGCUGUCUCCUUCCAACCACCUGUGGUCGGCAUCCCCGCGUUGUCACUGCGACGCAGAGGUCGCAGCUUCAUGGCCUGAUGCCGUCAGGAAGUAUUUUGAAGUCAUCGUGGCUGUGGAUUGGGGGAUUUCUUGUUUCCACUGACCUGUGAGGCCGCGCACGUGGAGGGAGGCACCCCGGGUCCUCCGGCACUGUCCGGCCUCGCCUGUGUCCCUAGUAGCAGUGGGCAUUUCCAGACGGUGCAGCUUGUGGCUAAAGUGACAGGAAGAUGUAGGAGCUUUCAGUCUUGGAUGAGGAUUCGAACUGAAAGGGUUAGGCCCAGCUGUCUUGGAGCAAAACAUCUGUUGUGGGGUGAGAAGGGAAAGGGGGGGUGAGGGUGCAGGGGCCCUCCUAGGAGGACAUCGGACCUGUUGGGCCGAGACCUCAUUAGAGAUCUAGAGCACGGAUGGGAGGAGCAGAGGCUCGAUUUGUGUCCUGUCCAGACUCCCACAGGCUGGGUGAUGGUGGGAGAUUUGUGCCCAUUCAGAUGUGGCGGCAGAGGAGGGCAAGGCCGAAGGAGCAGACAGCACCGCUUCUUGGGGAGUUGUGAAGGCAUCAUGCGGAGGGCCGAGCUUAGCAGCCAAGUGGAGGACAGCAACCUCCAUGCCUGGAUUCGUUACUCGCUCGUUCUAGAUGUUGAGCUGCUGGCAUAUUGCAGCACAACUAGAGAUGUACGGAUGCCCCCAUCUUGAUCUUACAGAAUCAGAGGUGCAGCCGCAAGAAAGGUCUGUAAGUUAUCUAUUUCGGCUUUAUUUAAAAGAUGGGAUGGGGUGACUGUUGACAUUGACACAUUUUGUUGUGGCAGAGUCAAGAACAGACACUGAGUCGCUUGAGGACUCAGGCAGGUGUUUGCUGCAUUGACAACAGAGUAAGAAAAAAUCCGUUUG
Molecule: long non-coding RNA, 1358 nt
Filed under: Pan troglodytes (chimpanzee)
Lineage: Eukaryota; Metazoa; Chordata; Mammalia; Primates; Hominidae
Description: long non-coding RNA NONPTRT002144
Source: RNAcentral